GUAGUCCUACGGGACGCAGCAGUGGGGAAUAUUGCACAAUGGGGGAAACCCUGAUGCAGCGACGCCGCGUGAGUGAGGAAGUAUUUCGGUAUGUAAAUCUCUAUCAGCAGGGAAGAAAAUGACGGUACCUGACUAAGAAGCCCCGGCUAACUACGUGCCAGCAGCCGCGGUAAUACGUAGGGGGCAAGCGUUAUCCGGAUUUACUGGGUGUAAAGGGUGCGCAGGCGGCACGGCAAGCCGGCGGUCAAAUCGCGGGGCUCAACCCCGCCCAGCCGUCGGAA
RNAcentral lists this ribosomal RNA (281 nucleotides) under uncultured bacterium. Its description in RNAcentral is "partial 16S ribosomal RNA". It matches the Rfam family "Bacterial small subunit ribosomal RNA", at positions 333 to 632 of the family's 1533-position model. The record is from RNAcentral.